UGACCCUACGGGAGGCAGCAGUGGGGAAUAUUGCACAAUGGGGGAAACCCUGAUGCAGCGACGCCGCGUGAGUGAAGAAGUAAUUCGUUAUGUAAAGCUCUAUCAGCAGGGAAGAAAAUGACGGUACCUGAGUAAGAAGCCCCGGCUAACUACGUGCCAGCAGCCGCGGUAAUACGUAGGGGGCAAGCGUUAUCCGGAUUUACUGGGUGUAAAGGGAGCGUAGACGGCAGGGCAAGUCAGAUGUGAAAGCCCGGGGCUCAACCCCGGUACUGCAUUUGAAACUGUCCAGCUGGAGUGCAGGAGAG
RNAcentral lists this ribosomal RNA (305 nucleotides) under uncultured bacterium. Its description in RNAcentral is "bacterial SSU rRNA". It matches the Rfam family "Bacterial small subunit ribosomal RNA", at positions 333 to 656 of the family's 1533-position model. The record is from RNAcentral.